GAUGAACGCUGGCGGCGUGCCUAAUACAUGCCAGUCGAGCGAACGGACGAGAAGCUUGCUUCUCUGAUGUUAGCGGCGGACGGGUGAGUAACACGUGGAUAACCUACCUAUAAGACUGGGAUAACUUCGGGAAACCGGAGCUAAUACCGGAUAAUAUUUUGAACCGCAUGGUUCAAAAGUGAAAGACGGUCUUGCUGUCACUUAUAGAUGGAUCCGCGCUGCAUUAGCUAGUUGGUAAGGUAACGGCUUACCAAGGCAACGAUGCAUAGCCGACCUGAGAGGGCGAUCGGCCACACUGGAACUGAGACACGGUCCAGACUCCUACGGGAGGCAGCAGUAGGGAAUCUUCCGCAAUGGGCGAAAGCCUGACGGAGCAACGCCGCGUGAGUGAUGAAGGUCUUCGGAUCGUAAAACUCUGUUAUUAGGGAAGAACAUAUGUGUAAGUAACUGUGCACAUCUUGACGGUACCUAAUCAGAAAGCCACGGCUAACUACGUG
This 497-nucleotide ribosomal RNA is filed under the name uncultured bacterium. Its description in RNAcentral is "partial 16S ribosomal RNA". It matches the Rfam family "Bacterial small subunit ribosomal RNA", at positions 28 to 507 of the family's 1533-position model. The record is from RNAcentral.